CCGCGCAGGCGCCAUGAAGCCCCCCGGCUCCGCGCAGGCGCCCUGGCGUCCCUGAGGCCUGGGCGGCCUCUGGGCUGAGCCGGGCCCAGGCCAGGCAGGGGCAGUCCCGAGCCGGGCCGGGGCCGGGGUCGGGGCCUCGCCAUGGCCGGGGCCAUCGCGUCCCGCAUGAGCUUCAGCUCCCUGAAGAGGAAGCAGCCCAAGACGUUCACCGUGCGCAUUGUCACUAUGGACGCGGAGAUGGAGUUCAACUGCGAGAUGAAAUGGAAAGGGAAGGACCUGUUUGACCUGGUGUGCCGGACUCUGGGACUACGGGAAACCUGGUUCUUUGGACUGCAGUACACAAUCAAGGACACCGUGGCCUGGCUCAAAAUGGACAAAAAGGUUCUAGAUCAUGAUGUUUCAAAGGAAGAGCCAGUCACCUUUCACUUUCUGGCCAAAUUUUAUCCAGAGAAUGCGGAGGAGGAGCUGGUGCAGGAGAUCACGCAGCAUUUAUUCUUCCUACAGGUGAAGAAACAGAUUCUGGAUGAGAAGAUCUACUGCCCUCCGGAAGCGUCGGUGCUCCUGGCUUCCUAUGCUGUCCAGGCCAAGUAUGGUGACUAUGACCCCUCUGUUCACAAGCGUGGGUUUUUGGCCCAGGAGGAGCUGCUUCCAAAAAGGGUAAUAAAUCUGUAUCAGAUGACACAAGAGAUGUGGGAGGAGAGAAUCACCUCCUGGUAUGCUGAGCAUCGAGGCAGAGCAAGAGAUGAGGCUGAAAUGGAAUAUUUGAAGAUUGCACAGGACUUGGAGAUGUAUGGUGUGAACUACUUUGCAAUUCGGAAUAAAAAGGGCACAGAACUGCUGCUCGGUGUGGACGCUCUGGGCCUCCACAUAUACGACCCUGAGAACAGACUGACCCCCAAAAUCUCCUUCCCUUGGAAUGAAAUCCGGAACAUCUCUUACAGCGACAAAGAGUUUACCAUUAAGCCUCUGGACAAAAAGAUUGACGUCUUUAAGUUUAACUCCUCAAAGCUUCGUGUUAAUAAGCUGAUUCUGCAGCUGUGCAUUGGGAACCAUGACCUCUUUAUGCGAAGAAGGAAGGCCGACUCGUUGGAAGUACAGCAGAUGAAAGCCCAGGCCCGGGAGGAGAAGGCCCGGAAGCAGAUGGAGCGGCAGCGUUUGGCUCGAGAGAAGCAGAUGAGGGAAGAAGCUGAGCGAACACGGGAUGAAUUGGAGAGGAGGCUCUUACAAUUGAAGGAGGAAGCGACUAUGGCCAAUGAAGCUCUGAUGCGGUCUGAGGAGACAGCUGACCUGCUGGCAGAAAAGGCCCAGAUCACAGAGGAAGAGGCAAAGCUCUUGGCUCAGAAGGCGGCUGAGGCCGAGCAGGAGAUGCAGCGGGUCAAGGCCACGGCCAUCAGGACAGAGGAGGAAAAGCGCCUGAUGGAGCAGAAGGUGCUGGAGGCCGAGAUGCUGGCACUGAAGAUGGCUGAGGAGUCAGAGCGGAGAGCAAAGGAGGCCGAUCAGCUGAAGCAGGAUCUGCAAGAGGCCAGAGAGUCCGAGAGAAGAGCCAAGCAGAAGCUCUUAGAGAUCACCACCAAAGCUUCCUACACGCCCCCCGUGAGCUCGAGCACCGCGGCCCUGCCUCCUGACGUGCCCGGCUUCAGUCUCAUUGGCGACAGCCUGUCCUUCGACUUUAAGGACACGGACAUGAAGCGGCUCUCCAUGGAGAUCGAGAAGGAGAAAGUGGAAUACAUGGAGAAGAGCAAACACCUGCAGGAGCAGCUCAAUGAGCUCAAGACAGAGAUCGAAGCCCUCAAGCUGAAGGAGAGGGAGACGGCCUUGGACCUUCUGCACAACGAGAACGCCGACAGGGGAGGCAGCAAGCACAACACCAUCAAAAAGCCUCAAGCCCAGGGCAGAAGACCUAUCUGCAUUUGAGCCUUCCAAGUAGGUUAUUCCAAGGUUAUGAUCUCAUUCCUGUUCAUCGUCAGCACUAGCUCAGUCAUCCCUACUCAUUUUCCGUGGGUCACUGUAGGAAGGAGCUCUGGGCAGAUCUUAUUGGAAAGCUGGUUUUCUCCAAAGACCUCCCUGGAUCCCCACCAGACAAGGCUGCACCAGGAUCAAGUGCGCGUGGGGGGCCCUGAAGCACAUGGCUGAGCCACGUGGCCACCACCUGUCAGGCCAGUGGAUCUGCUCACCUUGCAGAGCACCAAGUCCCGAGUGGCCUUCUUCGAAGAGCUCUAGGAAGCCACCAGCCGUCCAAGGAGUGGCCACUUCUGCCUGGUCAUUCUUGCGAGCCACGGAAGCCAUCCCCGGACGUGCCGCCUAGAUGAUGAGCAGCCCCUGGAACUUGGCCUCCAGCCGAGUGGUGACCCCAACACCAGUGAUGUGCAAUGGCCUGGAAUUGUAGCCCUUCCAAGGAUUUCUGGUGGGGGAUACAAGUUCAGCCCCACGGAUUUAACAAAUAUGCAGUCUCUUUUGUCUCAUGUAUAGUCGUGGGAUCCCACGUGGUCUUCAAAGACACGUGGUAUGUGACUUUUUGCUACCUGCAGUAUCAGCCUGUUCCGCCAAGGGGAGAGGGGAAGCUGAUGUGAGGGAGGGUCAUCCAAGUGGAUGGGAGCGGCGAGGCCCCUGCCUGCCCUCCUUGUCUCGGCUCGUCAAACCUCCCAAAGCACCGGGGGUCAGGAAUGGCUGGGUAUGUGCUGCUGCCCCAAGCCAGGGCUCCCGAAGAGGGGAAGGGCAGGGCCUGGGAAGGAAAUGUCUCGGUGCUGGUGGCGUAGAGGUCCAGAGGAGUGAGGCUGGACAUCUUCCCAGAGUCUGGGCGUGGGCUGAUCACAGCCGUCGGGUUUCAGGCCUCAGACCCUCUGCCCUGAGGACAGGCCUCAGCUGUCAGAAAAACACUACGAUUGCAGCUUCUUCUUUGAGAAGGAGUUGGGCCGAAGCGCGGCCUUGCCCGGGCUGGUCAGGAGCGUCUGCAGUUGGGCCAGCUUCCUCACUGAGGGGAGCGGCUGUCCCAGGGCCCUGCCUCACCCACACAUCCUUUUCCCUUGUCCUUCACUCCCCAUGCUGUGGUUCGCUUAAGACGUGAGGGGCCUCAUCGUUCUUGGGACCUCCUAGUAACCAGCACAGAGGGCCUGGGUCUUUCCAGCGCCCCCUCUGGCUCACAGGUACUCCUCUCCCCUGCUGUCGAUGGCAAACCUUUCUUUGCCUCCGAUUUAUCUUGUAUUCUUCCUUGGCAAGAAAAUUGCUGCCCCGGCUGAUCUCUGCCUUCCACAUCUUGAAACGUGCUCCUUAACCUUGCCUCGUCUACAUGCUUCAUCUUGUUCCCCUGCCCUAAGCCCUUUUUAAGAAACUCCCCAUUGAACAUUUCAGCCUUUUGUAUUCCCUUUCCUCCCCCCACUGUGCCUAGUACAGUGUUCUGCCCCAUACUGGGCGCUCAGUAUGUGCUCUUUGAUUGACUAUUCUAUGCUGAGUUGGUGGCUGAAGAAACAACUCUCCCUUGUACUUGGUUAGGUGCUGCUCCCUUGAGCCACCAGCUGCUGCACCCUGUGUGACCUGGGGGCUUUGCUUCUCGGUCUCUGACAAGCAGUCAGAGGGAGCUGUGGGCUUUGUUCUGUGGCCCCUCCACAGCCUCCGGGCUGCCCUUUGGUGCUCAGGGAGGAGCAGUCUUCACUGCGGGGAGGCCUCCCGUGCUCUCCAUCCCUCAGCCCCUGCCGCCUGGCCCUGUUUCUGUCCUCCUGCUGGCAGGAGGACAGCCUCAGUGACCUCAUGCUUGCUCGUGGCUGUUAGGCAACAAAUGGGGGAUCAGGGGUUCUGCUCCAUCUGUGUGCAGACGGUAUGUCUUGCAGCCGAUAGGAAGGCCUGGCAUCCGGCACCCCUGCUGGCCUGAAGAGCCACCCCCUUCCCCCGCAGCUGCUCUAUAGGACGGGGCAUCAGCUCCAUGGUACCGUGCCAUCCCUGGCUCAGCCACCUCUAUGACCAGUUUGGGGGACAACGGGGAGGUGUCUGAGCUUAGCUGGGGAGUCUCUAACUUUAGAUUUAGCUCCUUGCCUCCAGGGAGGGCUGCACUUAUUUAAUUAGCAGUGAAAGCCAGCAUGAACCUGGCUGGCUGGCUUCAGUGUCUCAUUCUUCCUUCCUCCUCUUCCAAAGAGGUUUGAGAUUUGUGAGUGAGGAUGCCCUGGGUCCCAACAGUUCCUCCCCGCAGGGAGCAGGGUGUGGCCUGGGCAGUGAUGCCAAGCCCUGACUCCAGGGCCCUCCUUUCAGAGCCAGUCUCCUGUUUUCUGUGAACUGCAUCAGAAUCUUACCCAAAUUCUUGCCACAAAUACCAUUGCUCCUCUUUAAAAUUGAAAGAUGUGACCUGGCAGGGGGAGAGAGCUGGCCAUGGAGGCCGGAGGCCAUGGGGGGCAGAGGCGUGGGUGUGAGUACUGGUUCUCUAACUUAACUUCUCGGUGCCCACGCCCUUUUCUCCAUACAGGGGAGAGCCCCGAAUGUCUGUGAAAGCAUAGAUCCAGUCCCCACCCCCACCCCCGAGGCAGUGACCCAGGGCCACAAAAGCAAAUGGGUGAUCUGAAAAAUAGGAAACCUCCAAGCUUCCUUGGUCACAAAGGAUUUAAUGGGCACUCUCUGCUUAUGGGAAGGGAAAGCCACGAAGAGCCAAUUAGUUCAACUCAAGAGCUACCCCUCCUGUCUGCCCCAUGGGGCUCCCCCACCCCCACCCGGGUUGGGGAGUGGAACAGGAAGUAAAUGGACCCUGAGGAGGGGUGGGUCAUUGGCUUCUGGACGCCCGUUCCCCCAGAGCCUGGAGAUGGCUCUGUUGGGUGUUUUUUGUGUUGAUAAAGCGCAUAAGGUGUACCGUGUACCUGAGUUGCUGACAUGCCAUUGGAGAGAAGGGAAGAAACUGCAGAAUCCACAGGGAUUUCGUCGAGGAGCCAGGCAGUGGGGUGUGUGGGUGGCUCCCACCGGCACCCCCCAGAGGCCAUGUUGGUGGUCUCCGUCUACCCUCGCUCCUGCAUCCACCCUGACGCUCUCACCUGAGUUACAUCACAGCACUUAGGAAUACACCAGAGUGUUGUGCUCAGCCCCCAGGGCUCCCCACACCUCCAAGCAGCAGUGCAUGUCAUCUUGCAGGGAGAGGCCCUGCAUCUUCCUUCCUCUCUCUUGAGGCCACUCUGUCUCUGCAUUUCUGUCUCCCCAUCUCCACUCUCUCCAAAGUAAAAGUGCGUCCAGACCUCCUCAGUCCAGCGCUGAGAAAUCAGCCUCAGCUUUGACGAGGGCUCUGAGCUCCUGCCUGGGGAGAAGGAACCCAUUGCUCCCAUCUGUGCCAGGGGCGUCGGCCUCUCUCUCCAGUCUGACUUGGCAGCUCACACCCCCCAGCGUGGACGUCUCGUCCAGCACGCCUUGUGACUGGAGGGGUGGAGCCCCCUCCCCCAUCGGGUGAAAUACUCACAAAUCUGUUUUCUAUUCUGGGGGAUUGUUAUAUUUUAACUGAUUGUUAUAAUAAAAAUUCAAAGCUGUCAAA
Dromiciops gliroides (monito del monte) is the source of this 5494-nucleotide RNA transcript. It is a transcript of the gene named neurofibromin 2, with no coding region annotated. The transcript is spliced from 18 exons. The record is from RefSeq and is a predicted model, not a curated record. NCBI's taxonomy places the organism in Eukaryota, Metazoa, Chordata, Mammalia, Microbiotheria, Microbiotheriidae.